Molecule: non-coding RNA, 21 nt
Filed under: Arabidopsis thaliana (thale cress)
Lineage: Eukaryota; Viridiplantae; Streptophyta; Magnoliopsida; Brassicales; Brassicaceae
Source: RNAcentral
AUGAGUGUAUAAUAGUCGUGA